Molecule: RNA transcript, 11520 nt
Organism: Numida meleagris (helmeted guineafowl)
Lineage: Eukaryota; Metazoa; Chordata; Aves; Galliformes; Numididae
Gene name: protein spire homolog 1-like
Exons: 17
Source: RefSeq, a predicted model, not a curated record
CAUUAGUGUUCACACCUGUGUGGAAUAGAAUGUGUGAGGGAGCAAACCUUGGGUCAGAACUGAUAAAAGGCUGCUGCCUGACCAUUCCCCUGUCCUGGGAACAAGGCUGUUAAGCUUCCUAGUCUAGGAGAGGAGUUGUAAAGGUGAACAUGGAGUCUCCAUGCUGUGAGCAGCAGGCUGCAAAGGUCUCUCUAGCUGAGAUUCUGAGGUGUUUUGAGCACCCUAUAAGUGAAGAGCAAGCCUGGGCUAUUUGCUUUCAGUGCUGCUGCAGAAUGAAAGAAUUAGCCCAGGGGCUGCACCCAUCGCUCCAUUCUGUAUUCAUAAAAGGUCCUGGGAGCAUCUUUAUUCAUGCUGAUGGCACUGUUUCUUUCCGGGUGUAUCAUAAGUCUGAUGCUGGAAGCAUUCAGCAGUCAGAGGACAAGCUGUUGGAGUACUUGGGUGUGGUUAUCUAUGAAGCCCUGGACUGGGGAAUUGACAGCCAAGUGGAGCGAGAACUGAGUGAUCCACUGGAUAAACUGCUCUGCCUCAUGUUGAAACUGGAUGAUGAGGGAAUGAAGCCAACAGUCACCCUGCAGGAUGUUAUCAAGGCCUGUGAGGAUCACCUGUCCAUGCCUUCUGAGGCUACCAGACAUUACAAAAUGACCUGUAGGAGUCUUUUUACUGAAUUUAUGGAAAUUCAGAAGCUUGUGUCCAUCAUCCAGACUUCCAAAGAGAGUCUAAAAAAAAUGGAUGAGGAAGAUUUGCUGGAAUACCACACGCAGGAGAAGGAAAAACAGUGGGCAUCCCUAUGGCCCAGUGUCAUCUGUGAACUGCAGAAUGGUGUAAAGCUGCGGAAGGCCACUGACCGACCGCAGCGUCCUGUCCCUCUGAAAGAGUGUACCUACUCCCCUUAUGAAUUACUUCUAGAUGAUAUUCGGCACAAGAGGUACAAGCUUCGGAAGGUGAUCAUCGAGCAAAAAUGCAGAACCCCCAGCAAUGCUGUAGCUGCUCCCAGGCCUCAUCUAAAACCUGUGCUGGAGUGGAAGCUGAAAGAGCGUGUGCCAUCAGAGCCUACUUUACACAAACAGCUCAUGGCAGAAAUUAAGCAACCACAGAAGCUUCAACCAUCAUCAGCAAGGGAAAGCAGGAGCAGGCCCAAAGAAAUGUCUGUGAUUCCAAACAUUGUCUUGAAAUCUCCAAAUGAUAGUUUUUUAACAUCCCAAGAUGCCAGUGCAGCAUUUCAAGUUGUCAACACAAUAGCACAGCAUCCAAGAUCAAGAGUUCAGGAAACUACUCCAAAGCUGCCUUCCAGCACCCAGCUUGCCUCAGCCAGGUCAUCAGUAAUGUCCUACAGCAGCACAGGUCUUGCUGCAGGUCAUACACUUCCUCCCAUGAGCACACCUGUGCUAGGAGACCUUCAAACUAAAUGUUUCCUGAAUAUUGGCCAGCAGCAGCUGCAUCCUUACAGAGGAAGGUCCAAAUCUUUAGACACUGGCCUUCAAAGCAAGGAACUUGACUGUUAUUUUCCUACUACAAGGCCAUCACCAACCAUUGCUGAACUGAUUGGAACCAGAUAUGCAAUGAUAGUGCUGAAAAGGGAAGGCUUUUCCCAAGGAGGUAGUGAUGGUGUCUUUCCAAGAGCAAAGAUUUGUUUCAGCUGCCAUAAGCAGAUGUUUCUUAAGUGGCCUUACAGCUGUUACCUCUGCAGCAGUGUCGUCUGCUGUGACUGCUGCAUCAAGAUGUCCAUGCCCUUCAGAAUGUGUAUGCAUCUCCCACUUCACUUCUUAAAACUUUUGAGACUCUCCACAGAAGAAGACCCAGCUACUCAAGAGCAGAAGAGCUCGGAGUUGCUGCAUGAAAUAGAGCACUGGGAGUGUUAUAGGCGAUCUCUGCCCAAAUGGUGGAAGAUACCUGGUGGGGAGUUGGCCUUCUGUCUGAGAGUGUGUCCUUACUACAUAUGAAGGGGACAUAAGUUUUUCAUCAGCCAGCAGCAGAGCAAGAGGAGGAGAAAACGCUAAAGCCCUGCAAUCCCUGUCUAGACGUGGUGACCUCGGGAUGUAAAUCUGCACUGACGUCCCUGCCUCUUGCCUGCUUUUGUGGAGGCUGACGUCUGCGAGACUCCUGGGCCCCUUCCCAAAGCCAAGUGCCUUGGUCCGGAAUGAAAACCCAACAGCAAGCUGCCUACUGAUGUCGAUCUCCAUCCACCAGGUAAAACGUGAGCCAAGAUGGGGUUUACACCCUAGGUUUUCUGGUGGUUCACCAGCUCACCUGGCUUGCUAUCAGCUCCUCUAGCCAUGGGCUUGUAUUAAUUUGGGCAGGCGUUCUUGGUAAGACUUGGGUUAAUUAGAGGCAUAGGUCAAACUUUCACAAGCUCUACUUUGGAGCUAAACCAUACUUUCAUGACAGCACCUUGAGAGACACUUUUAGGGUGGAAAAAAAGAUGGACAUGGGCUUUGCUUUGAGCCAUCGUGACAUACCAGAGUUGUUUUUUCAGUAGAGCAGAAGCUUGCAUAAGGGCCCAGCCCAGGACGCGCAUAAUGUCCUUCACUGAGCACUGGAGGUACUGCUGUUUGAAAUUGGAGGUUUUGGGGUACACCUCCACAGCCAGAGCAAUGGGUUUGCUCCUAGUGGCACUUCAGGAUAAAGAAGAUCCUCCAUGUACAGCAGAACUCUGACAAGCCUCACAGCUCGGGGGGGAGGCCAGCAGUGUGACAGAGCCCAAAUGGUGCAUCCCAGACCAGACUAAUAACAAGGGUGCCCAUGGAAUGGUUUUCCAGGGGCAUGGCCCUGCGAGCUCUUGAAGGAGAUAUACAGCUUUUUCCCAAAUGAGGUCCUAGGUUACAACAUAAUGGCACUAUUUGCCCAGAUGUGGGCUUUAUUCUGCAUUCAGUCUGACUCCUGGGUCACCGCAAUCUUCAGUGUUAUUUCCUGAAUUCUCCUCUGAAGCCUUCAGUGUGCCUCUGGCCUCAGUCCUGAGCCUCCACUGGAACUGCCAGUUAACACUCAGCUUCCCAGCACCACCCAGGGUUUUCAGCUUUAAUUACCCAUGUGGAGCUCCCCUUCACCCAGCACAAUGAGGUCAGACACCUGCAAGCCCCCAGUUUGGGCACAGUCGCCAUGGUGCUGGAUGAAGGUGGGAGGCAGGCAGCUGCAGCAGAGGAGGCCCAGCUGGAGCCCAGGUCUUGUUCCUCCUGCUUUGUGCCUCAUUCGUGGGCAGCGGGGCCCCACACUGUUCCUCCUGGUCCUCUUUAGGCUUGUCAGCAGCAAGCAAUGUGCUUCUCACCUGCUGCUCUGCUGCUGCCAGGCGGGGGACAAGCUCCUUGCUGAAAGCCUUUCUGAGCAGUUGAGGGAAAGGGUCUUAUUUGAUGUUAUGCAUUGAGACCUUUUUCUUCUGCUCAGCAUUAUCCAAAUUGAGAAAGGCAACUUUGAGGGAGGUUGAAGUAAAUGAGUUAUUUGUGUUGGCCCUAUAGGCACUAAAGAUGGUCAAUGUAAAAAUCGCAGCUUUGAUACACUUGGAUCACAUCUUUCCUUGCUUCAGUGGAGAGAGUGCCCAGAUGGCAUUGCCAUCCUGUGUCCAGCUGCUUGAAAGACUUUAAUUUCUUUCAUCUACUGUAGCUUCCCUUAGCACAGAAGAAACCACAAACAUCACAGCUGUGCAAAGCGAUACAAAGCUGGACGUACGUGCUCAAGAGGCCUGUGAGACUUACAGCACACGGGAGGCAAAUGUUUUUUGAUGAAAUUAUAUACGAGUUGAGUUUCACCAUCGUUUUCAUCUGUCUCUUCCCACUCAAGUGAAAGGAAAUAAAAGGGAAUGCUCUUUCUUAAAAAUUGAGUUUUAAGGGUUUGGAAAGAAGCAGAGAGGACAGAGAGCAGGACUAACAGGUGGCCAAUGCUCUGCCUGGCAUGCUCCCAUGGAUGAGCUGUUUGGUUUUGUUCCGUUCCCAACAGUGCUCUGCUCCUCUGUGUCUCCAAGUGUAGAAUGGGAAGAAGGACAAUGAACAGAUAAGCAAAAUGGGAUUGCAGAUGGGGAGGAGUAGGUGGUUCAUGAGGGAAAAGGAUUAAAAGGGUCAUCAAAUGUCAUGCUGCACUAUUCAACUCGGUAUGAAUAUACUCCCAGGAGCUCUGGGGAGCUGUGUCAUACAGCAAGAUUUCUUGCACUUCCCGUGGACACUGGGCAAGUGGAUCUUGGGACUGACCCAGGCAAGCCUUUCCUGUGCUACUAACAGUACCCACUUUGACAAAAUGCCUCUACACUGGUAAGUCGGAAGCACCGUAUGAGCAUUAUUCUCAUUAGGGAUGAUUGGCUUGAAGGACCAAGAGAAGUCUCCACCCCACCAUGGCCUACAAUGGGGCAAUCACAAGGCAGCAAGUUAAGCAUGAACUUUGGUCGCCACAGGCCUGAGCUCUUCCAGCUCAUGCUCCCUCUGCUUUUAAAGGGGUCCACGGUACCCAGGGAGGAUGGGUGCUGGGUCUGCCAUCGCCAAGCCCUGGUGCGGUGGGAACGCUGCUGUGUGCCGAGGGUGCCGCACCUCCCCUCAGCUCGGAGGCCGGGGAAUGAAGGAGCCGGUGGAGAGGGGAAAGGAAGCAACUUUUUAAAUAAAAAAAAAAAAUAAGUGAUGAAUAGAUCGGCUAAUCCCGGGAAAGCUUGAGAAUAUAGAGCAGCGUCUGUGGGGCCUCCCUUUUUUCUUUUCUUUUUUUUAAUUUUCUUUUCUUUAAUUUCGCUGCAGCACGUAUAAUCAAUUAUGGCCUGAAUCGGGGAUAAGGGGAGGGAAAGUACUUCAAUUCAUAAAUCAAUUUUAUACGGUCAUCAGUCAGGUUGUGAAUGCAAAUACCUCUGUCGGUUUAGGUUAUUCAGAAUUAAUUGACUCCCACCGGGCUGGGCUGCAGAUGGAGAGGAGCUUUCUCACAAAGUCUGCUUGGGCUCAGCAUGGGGGCAGGCAGGCGGGCCGGCUUCCUCCUCCUCCUCCUCUUCCUCCGCUUUCCUCUCCCUGAGCAUUAUGCUGCUGGCACUGGGGAGAGUUUUGUGUGCGUAUGCGUGUCUGUGAGAGGGAGCGGGAGAGAUGCUUGAAGAAAGAAAGGGAUAUGCAAAGAUUAAAGUCACAAGCCCCCUCUUCAGCCUUGGCCUGUGCAGACACUUUUAUGUGAUUAGGAAUGCUUUGCUUUCAAGGGUUUGCUUUUAAGCCUUGAGCUUCUCUUGAACUUCUCCAAUGAGAAAACAAACAGCAGUGUCAAAGCUUCCCCCUGUGCUUGGAAUUCGGGCAAGAAUCGUGUCAUUAAAAAGCCACUUUGCUACUGGGACUUUGGCAUCUGAGCCACUGUUUCAAAGCCCGUCUGGGGCAGGGGAGAUCGAAAGUCAUUAAACAUCUAGUGAUUGUUUUGGUGGCCUAUUGAAAAAUGAGUUUUGGAGGGUUUCAGGCCACCGGGAGGAUGCAGGACACACACCAUCACCUGGUUGUCCCCUCCCUGCACCUCCUGGCUGUGCUGACCAACUUAUCUUGAAGCCUAGAGAGAGCCCAAGGGAUGGAUUUGCACUGAGGGUGAAGAUGAGUGAAAUCCAUAGCCCCUCUUUUCAGCCCCCUGUAGUGCUGCCCUGCUUUGCUGAGCUACAGGGCAAGAGUGGGUGCAAACACCUGGGCACACACCUGCCCAUCACUGUCUUGGAUUGGGAUUGGCACAGCUAGGACUUCUUAGAUAUGGUCCUCUCAGCUUCAAUCUUCCUCUCAGCUCUAUAAACUCUAGAAAAGGAGUCCCACAGUUCUGCACAAGUAAAUAGCUAACUCUUUCCAUUAGCAGACAUGAGAUCCAUUGCCAAAAGAGUUGGUGUAUAUAACCCUCUUUUACAUAUGAGUAGACUGAGGCAGAAAUGACGUGACUCGAUCCAAAACAUCACCCUUUAAAUCCUGGCGUAGCUGGAAAUAAAGCCUAGGUCCUGUGAUCUCCACUCCAUUACUGUACCUUCUAGGACACAGCGGAUCACCAGAGAGCUGAACAAAUACCUCCACCUAUUGCAAAGUGAAAGAUGUUGAAGCUGGCCCAAUGGAACUGACCCACAUGAUCUCAUGGAAACAACAGCUCAGCAAGUCUGACAGUUCAGAGGAGGCCUUGGAGGUAACGACCAUCACUGAGGCUUGACUAUGCGCAAAGGCUGCAGAGGAAGACGAAAGGAGCUGUUUGUAGCUAAGUGGGGAGGUGGAAAACUGCCUUGCAGUCCUUCAGCAGGAGCAGCACGGAGCAGUUCUUGGCAAGGGAAAGCGGGAGGGAGCAGCAGAACAAAAGAACCCUGCAACUUCCCCUCAAUGCUUUCCUCUGUUUUGAGCAAAUCUGCUAUUCUAGUGAUACCCAAAGAGCCAGGUGCCCUGGACAGCCUCCUGCAGGGCUCUGCAAACUUCACAGCACUCCUUAUCUACAAAAUCCUCUGCUUUUUUUACAUAUGCUAUUUUGUUAAAACCUCAAUUUUUUUUCAGAUAUUGUAGUCUAUAUAAGGCACAGAUUGAUUCAUUAGCUCCAGUACCAACCUAAAAGCCCCAGGAAAUUUAUUACCCCUGCUGUAUGCUGAAGGGAAACCUAUAAGAAAGCACAGGACAGGUGUUCGCAGGGCUGUUGAGUCGCUCAGGCUGAAAAUGAGAACUGUGCAGACACAUCCAGAUCCCUUCUGCUGACCUCGGUAUGUCUGACUCUUCCUCCUUCUUCAAAAGCCGCCUGGACGUGAGCCUGGGCUGCCUGUUCUGGGUGGCCCUGCUUGAGCGGGGGUUGAACCUCCAGAGGUCCCUUCCCACCUCAGCCACUCUGGGAUUCUGCGAUUCUGUUUGCUGUGGUCACCAUGGUUUCUUCUACAGCAGCCCCAACUAGAUAUCCUACUUGUGGCUGGCAUUGCAAGACCUUGCUCAGAGGUACCAGCCCUUCAGUGUACUGAGCCUUGGGCACAGCUAGCCCCUGGAUGCAGCUCAGGCUGCCCCACAUCGGCCUCACAUGUGCCUCAUGUUCUGUAGGAGCGUGUGGUACAAGAGGUGCUUUGGAGGGAGCAAGAGGCAGGAGUGUCUGGUGUAUUUGGCCUGUGUGGCUCCUGACACGGCAGCCGGGUGCUCUCUCUUCCCAUGCCCACUGCCAGAAAAUUCAUGCCUUAGAUAAUAAGUGCUGCUGUGGCCUGUUCCGCUCCAACGCUCUCCCCUUUGAGGACUUUGUCUGGGUCCCAUCUCUCUGCUGGCCUGGCAGUAACCAGGUCUGACUCGUAGGAAACGAGUCCAGACCCCUGGGGCUGGAAUAUUUGCCUAGCCUCAGCUGAAUCCCCAGCUAGAAGCCCUUGAGAUGAUCUACUUGGGACUCACCAGGUUGGAAAGCAGUUAAAAAAGUCUUUCAGCUCUUGAUCAAGCGAAUCCAUCAUGUGCAAGAGGGAACCAUUUUAGCGCCCUGCCGCUCUCCCUCGCUGCUUCGUCCUUCAGCGCCUGACAAUGCUCCAUGUGUUUCUGUUCGCUCAGUGUGCAGAGAGGAAGCCUCCCCCUCGCCAGAGCUUUCUUAGCAUUUUUAAUCGUGUUUAUAAAGUCAAAUACCUAAGUGACCAAGAGCUACCAGAGCUGCUUCUCUGCCCAGGGAGGUACCUGAAAUCUCUCCUUGAAGUCCAUGGGGAGAGCCACGCUCUGUUGAAACGCCAAGCGGACCCGGGGCAGAGGCAGAGGGAGGAGUGAGCCCCUUGUCCGACUCACACAGCCCCUUUCAUUGGGGCCCGGGGAAGGAGGGGGGAAUCUUUACACCCGCGAUGGGACUUCUGAAGAAUUUACAGUCGUCUUUUUUGGAGACACGAAAGGUUUUACAGCCCUGGUACCAGCAGUUACAAUGCCCUAUGGAGCACGGGGCCGAGCGUGUGCCAGGGACCCCUUCAUCUCGCCAGAGUCUGGCCGGCGGCCAGGGCCUUUGCACGGGGCCGUGCUUCUCGGCAAGGGAAGGAGUGAGGCUGGUAGAGAGGCCAGAGCAGGGGAGAGGCUGAGUGGAGGGGGCAAGGAGGGGAACAAAGGAGUGCAUGACAGGAGAUGGGGCAGCGAGGAGCAGAGGGAGAUGGAGGAUGGAGGGGAGGCCAGCGUGGGAGGACGGAGAGCUGGAUACACCGACUGGGAGGAGGGAAGGAGAGAGAGAGAGGAGAAGUGCAAAGAGCCGUGGAGGGAGGAAACAUGAGAAGAAGGAAUAACAAAAAGGGAGCCAGGAAGAGGGAAAGGAGGGAAUAGCAAAUAAGGACUGAGCAAAGUUAUAAAGCAAAACAGGGUCUGCAAGCAGGUAUAGCAGGGAGGCCCAGAACAAGCUCAGAGCCCAGUAUGCGGGAAGUCUCAGCACAGAAAAUGAGGCUUGGCAGGGACCCUCCCCAGGCCUCAACACUCACAGAAGAGCUCUUCCGCAUGCCCCGCUUUGCACCAACCUGCACCCCAGGCAGCUCUCAGGCCAACGCUCACCACGAUGAAUGUGGUGGUGUACACUUUUACACAUGCAUGCAAGUGUGUCACACACCCCUAUGUCCUUCAUGCUGUGCACCUGCUGUCACAGGCAGCUCUCCCCUGACCCAUACACCCCAAUCCAGCUCCGCUCCCUCCUCAGCUGGCUGCAACACAAGGCUUGUGCUUUGUGAAGGACAUUAAAGUUUGGCCAUUGGGGUUCACUCUGUGCUGAGGAGAAAAUGAGCCUUUAAGGUCUUUCAGGUUUUUUUUCUUCUUCAGUGAGGGAAAAAUGUCCAACAGAAAAAAUGAGUAUAUAUGUGAGGUAAUUCCUGAAUGCUGCAUCUGCUUGGUUUGCAAAUGGGAAAUUUGCCGUGGGCCCCACACACUGGUAUACCUCCUGCUAGUGGAGCCACAGCAGACGUGUUGCUCUUGGGCCAAAAGGGUUGUACAGAACUACUGCUAACAGUGUGUUCCUGAUCCACUGUGUUUUUAAAGCACAAUAUGCCAACCUAUCCUCAGGGAGGGUCAGCCAGACUCAUAAAAGUUCCUUGUAGUGAACAUCAUGCUCAACACACUUCUCUCUGGUUACAAUGGACAGAAAAUGGCUCUCAGCAGAGAUUUUCUAGACACUUAUCUGCAUUGCCAUAGCCCAGAAAGGGUAGGGAAGCAAAGGGUGAGAGGCCUAGUGACUGCCUUUUGGCGUGAAGAAGCAACAGUGGUUUAAUCUUCUAUUAAAAUUCCUCCAUGCAAGCUGUGCAAACUUCCUCAUGCUAGACAAACAUUGUGCAAAGGGCAAUGUGUUGUUGGUGGGACUCUCCCAUAUGAACAACAUGAGCUAGAGGGCCUAGCCAGCAGCCAGUGGAAGUGGGUUUGUGCACCUGGCCUCCUUGGAAGCAUGUCCUGACACCUGGGCACCACAGCAGUGCCAGAAGGACCUCAGGAGAGCAUCCUGUGCAGGACAGCACCAGUACCAGGCCUUGUCCCUUGAGCACUCCAGGCCCAGUGACACAACUCCUGGGAAGAAGCUGUAGAGAUGGGUUCCAUUAUUUCCAGGCCUGCCGCAUGGCACAGCUCCAUCAGCACGUCAACCAGCAUUUUGGGAAUGCCCAUCUAUUGCCACUAGUUUGUACUGCCUCUUGUUGAAACACCAUUGAUUUAGGAAUGCCCAAGUUUCCUUUCUCUACAUAGUUUCCUUGAAUUUUUUUUCUUCCCCUAGAAAAAUGAAGACAUGCAUGUGGUACAGUGCUAUCUUUUCUACCCAGUUUGCUUUGAUUUGGAGUUCAGUCAGUACAGAAGAAAUGAAAUGGAAACAAGAAUUAUUGUUUCAUCAGUAGUUGAACACUUGUGUUCAUGACAUUAUCUCAUUAUCAGAAUUAUGAGGAGACCAGUGCCUAAGACUCAGUUACGAUACUGGAAAAAAUAGGGAAGCCAGAAUUUAUCAGGAUUAGAGAACAUGCCACACAGUUAGAGGUUCAUCCAUGCUCUCUGGAACCAGAAGUGCUGGUUGAAUUUGCUGUGUUUUCACUCUUCCACCUGUAUUUGCGUGAUCAUUGCAGGUGGCAGUUAAGCCAAGGCAGCAGUCUGGAUACAUGUGGUCAUUGUUGCUAGGAAAGCACGCAGAGAGCUUACAUGUCAGGGCAGGAGUAGAAAGAAGCUGGCUCUUGUGCUGAGAUUCUCUUGUUAAUCCAAGAAAUUCACCCAGAAAAAACCACUAAUGACUUCAAACCAUAGUCCAGUGGCGCCCUGGCGUCCUCAAACUGUAAACAGAAGAGAGAAAAAUAGAUCUGAUAAAGAGCAGUUUGGUUUGUAGGCUUGGAGGAAUGUUAAGUGCAUAGUCCAUGGCAGCAGAAACCAGCAUGGCUGAGCACAGACCUUGGCUCCAGGACUGAUACAGCACCAAUUGCGUAUGUCUUUCUCCCCUGCUGGUGAAUACUUGUCUGCCCAGCUGGUGGGAAGCUGGUUCCUCCUCCGGCCCAACCUGGCCUUCAGCUAUGACACACAAUCCAAAUGUUUCAAAGCUGCCCUUGGAAAGCAAAGGAGCUUGGCACCUUGGGAGGUGUGGCCCACGGCCUUCAUUCCUGAUGUUAUUUGGCUCCCUAAUUUUGGAAAGAGCAGUGGAAACAAUUAGGUCUCUUAAUUUCUCCGAGGCAAGAUCCAAAUACAGAAAAGAAUACAUCUCCCAGGCAGGGAGAAGCGGGGAAUUAACUGCCUUCUUUUGGAUGAGAUCAGAGAAAGCUGAUUUAUGAAGCAAAGAGAAAGCAAAGUGCUUUUAUGGGUAAAAUGUUCCCUGCUUAUUUCCUUUCUGUCAGACUACGUUCCUCCCACGCUUCUGGCUGCAAGCUUGCUCCUUGGAAGCCCGUUUAAGCAUUUCAGCAUGUGCUGAUUUAACUGGGCAAGGAUUCUGACAGAUCCUUGCAGAAGACUUCACAGGAGUUGCUAGAGGUGACUGCCUAAUGCUGACCCGGGGCACGUGGAGGAGUACCAAGCUGGCGAGCCUAGAUCCUUGUGCUCUUGCAGCUCUCCCAGAGCACCAGGCUCUCCGGGGAUGCUCUUCAUAGUCUGUUGGGCCAGGGUGCAUCUCCCCACCUGCUUUUUCUCUUCCCUUGAGGAGUUACGGGGCUCUGAUCCAUGGAGAGAUGCUGAGAGCUGAAGCCACACCAAGGCCGGGGGCGUUUGGUUACUGCUCAGCCAGGGCAAGCGAAAGCAGAACGGGAGAGAAAUUCAAGAGGGUGGGUGUGGAAUGAGAAAGCUUCUGUGAGUGAGUUUCCACACACGGGGCUUUCAGCUCCUGCCAACGCACAUACAAGAUGGAUGAACUCAGGGGAACUCAGAGAGGCUUGUGUCUGCUAAGGGAGGCCAUAGCAAACAUCUGACAUUGAGUUAUGGCAUACCAGCUGGGACACCUGAAGCAUCAAUGCUCUGGCCAUGCUGCCUGCUCUGCUUCAUGGUUCUUCCUGACAAAGAUGUCUUAGAUGCUGGUAUUGACAGGCCUGCUGCAAAGGUGCAUAGAAUCAUGGAAUCAUAGAAUCAUUAGGGUUGGCCAAGAGUACUAAGAUCAUCGAGUCCAACCUAUCACCACCAUGCCCACUAACCAAGUCCCUCAGUGCCACAUCCACAAGGC